AGUUCAGCUCGAUAUAUCAUUUUCAAAUGAGACAGUGAACAUAACAGACAAGAAAAAUGAAGCUUACUCUAUUGAUAGCUCUGGUUUGCACCGCUUUCAUUUCAAAAUUAGUUCUUGCUGAUUCCCAAGAUUUCACUGAAUGUUCGGAUCCCAAUGCUGAAUAUCGUGAUUGUGGUAGCGCAUGCCCCCUUACAUGUACUAAUAUGAACCGAAAUUUUAUGUGCAUCAUGGUUUGUCGAUCCGGAUGCUUUUGUCGGCAAGGGCUAGUGAGAAAUGCUAACAACAGAUGUAUCAAACCAUCAGAGUGCCCGCAAUGAUCGAAGAGGUCGACCAAUUGAAGGGGUACCCCGAGGAUUAAAAAAUGAAAACAAAAACAAUUUGAAAUGCUUUUUAAUCUGCAUUGUUCAGAAGAAACAAUCCUAAAUUUUAUAAUUUAGGAUUGCUUGUUGAAUACAAUUUCCAUUAAAAAAUAUAAUAAUCACUUUAGAAGAUUAUUUUGCCUUUUUCCACAUAUCCAAUAGAAAUAUAUCAAAAUUGUCAAUUGUUGUUCUUCAAAGUACAAACAGAUUUAGUUAACACAGAUUGUUUGAUAGACUUUGAUAUUGUAUUUUAGAUUUUCAUAUUCUAAUGCUUUAAAAUCUCCAUGCAGUCCGAAGCAUCUUCAAUCCGACUGCCGUAAAAGAGGAAAAGGGUCAACCUGGCAAUCAAAAUUUUCAUUAACCCGAAAAACACACCAAAACCGUAGCCAUGGCGCAACAUAAACCUGACGGAAACCUUU
Molecule: long non-coding RNA, 778 nt
Organism: Aedes aegypti (yellow fever mosquito)
Lineage: Eukaryota; Metazoa; Arthropoda; Insecta; Diptera; Culicidae
Exons: 2
Source: RefSeq, a predicted model, not a curated record